UCUUCUUCGGAAGACGAUCUAGCGGCGGACGGGUGAGUAACACGUGGGUAACCUGCCUUAUAGAGGGGGAUAGCCUUCCGAAAGGAAGAUUAAUACCGCAUAACAUGGUUUUAUCGCAUGGUAGAAUCAUCAAAGGAGUAAUCCGCUAUAAGAUGGACCCGCGGCGCAUUAGCUAGUUGGUGAGGUAACGGCUCACCAAGGCGACGAUGCGUAGCCGACCUGAGAGGGUGAUCGGCCACC
RNAcentral lists this ribosomal RNA (240 nucleotides) under uncultured Clostridium sp. RNAcentral's name for it is "partial 16S ribosomal RNA". It matches the Rfam family "Bacterial small subunit ribosomal RNA", at positions 74 to 312 of the family's 1533-position model. The record is from RNAcentral. Lineage: Bacteria; Bacillati; Bacillota; Clostridia; Eubacteriales; Clostridiaceae.